CCUACGGGCGGCAGCAGUGAGGAAUAUUGGUCAAUGGACGAGAGUCUGAACCAGCCAAGUAGCGUGAAGGAUGACUGCCCUAUGGGUUGUAAACUUCUUUUAUAUGGGAAUAAAACGUUCCACGUGUGGGAUUUUGUAUGUACCAUAUGAAUAAGGAUCGGCUAACUCCGUGCCAGCAGCCGCGGUAAUACGGAGGAUCCGAGCGUUAUCCGGAUUUAUUGGGUUUAAAGGGAGCGUAGGUGGAUUGUUAAGUCAGUUGUGAAAGUUUGCGGCUCAACCGUAAAAUUGCAGUUGAGACUGGCAGUCUUGAGUACAGUAGAGGUGGGCGGAAUUCGUGGUGUAGCGGUGAAAUGCUUAGAGAUCACGAAGAACUCCGAUUGCGAAGGCAGUUCACUGGACUGCAACUGACACUGAGGCUCGAAAGUGUGGGUAUCAAACAGGAUUAGAUACCCCGGUAGUC
RNAcentral lists this ribosomal RNA (460 nucleotides) under uncultured bacterium. RNAcentral's name for it is "partial 16S ribosomal RNA". It matches the Rfam family "Bacterial small subunit ribosomal RNA", at positions 338 to 795 of the family's 1533-position model. The record is from RNAcentral.